GCCCCGGUGGUGUAGUCCGGCCAAUCAUGCAGCCCUUUCGAGGCUGUGACUCGGGUUCAAAUCCCGACCGGGGCA
Molecule: transfer RNA, 75 nt
Filed under: Methanobacteriota archaeon
Lineage: Archaea; Methanobacteriati; Methanobacteriota
Description: Euryarchaeota archaeon (groundwater metagenome) tRNA-Glu
Rfam family: tRNA
About the family: Transfer RNA (tRNA) molecules are approximately 80 nucleotides in length. Their secondary structure includes four short double-helical elements and three loops (D, anti-codon, and T loops). Further hydrogen bonds mediate the characteristic L-shaped molecular structure. tRNAs have two regions of fundamental functional importance: the anti-codon, which is responsible for specific mRNA codon recognition, and the 3' end, to which the tRNAs corresponding amino acid is attached (by aminoacyl-tRNA synthetases). tRNAs cope with the degeneracy of the genetic code in two manners: having more than one tRNA (with a specific anti-codon) for a particular amino acid; and 'wobble' base-pairing, i.e. permitting non-standard base-pairing at the 3rd anti-codon position.
Source: RNAcentral